RNAcentral lists this long non-coding RNA (529 nucleotides) under Malus domestica (apple). Its description in RNAcentral is "long non-coding RNA (MDOM_LNC019778)". The record is from RNAcentral. Lineage: Eukaryota; Viridiplantae; Streptophyta; Magnoliopsida; Rosales; Rosaceae.
UAUGUAGGGGUGGGUUCGGUACGGUUACCGUACCAAAACCCUUGUACCAAUUACCGUACAAAACUUUCGAUUUGGUAAAAUCUAUUACCAUUACCAUACCAAACUUUCGGUAUACCGAAGUUCGGUAUUGCCAAAAGUUCGGUUGGCAUGAAAUGGCAAUGGUAAUCGCCACUUUGUUUUGGGACAAAAUCUUUUUUUGUUUUUUUAACCCAAUUCAAGGGAAAAACUUUUUUUGGGUACCUUUAUCUCAUACAUUAUAGAUUAAAUUCAUCAUUCACAAUUCACACACAUAAUAAUUCAAAUUAUGCAUCAAGAUUCAUCAUGAAAAUUAAGCUUACAAUCCAAAUAGAAGUUACAAACCAAAACAAAUAGAAGUUAACAAUCCAAAUAGAAAUUAAAGUUUCAAAGCAAAUGAAAAUUGGAAGUAAACUUCAAAAAGGAGAAUUCAUUGAUCAGUUAUUCAAGCUUGAGAUGUCAAAGCUUUUGGAGGAGGCAUUGAACUUGUAGAAGAUUGAGUUUGUGUCAAGCC